UUCAAAAUGGCGGCGGCUGUCCGUGACAUCCAUGCUUCAGGCAGCCGUCGUCUGGAAGAUGGUUUGCUCUCGUUCAACAUUAUCGGAAGAGGAAAAUAGCUGUCAUUAACUUGGACUUGUGGCUGGCUUGUCGUCUGCAUUUGCUGAUGAUCUCCUGAGCGCUGACGACCAAUAAAAACAGCUCUGCGUUCCCCGGCCCCCAAAACGUCGGCUCCCUAUAUUUCUACGAACCCAUGUUGAAUAUCCACGUUUCUGAACCAAAAUACGGUUUACAUCAGCCCCGUGUCCGUGCUUUCAGAAAAGCAAGUGAAAAGUCAGUCUUUACUUUUUGUGGUUUCACACAACAAGCAGCGUUCUCCCGAGUGAAAGUCCUGUGUUUGUUACACACCCCACAACAACAACAACAACAACAGUGGACACAAAGUGGAUGGAAAGACACCUGCAAACAGAUUACGGGUGACUGCCUGCACGUACGAGACGGUGCUAUGGACGUGGUUGCCGUGGAACAUCUGGUCUCAUCUAUUAGCUAGCGUAUUACUUUUUUAGAUCAAUUUUAUUAUUUACUUAAAUUACUUGUGGUCAUUUUGUCCACCACUUAAAAACAGUUCAGCGUCAGCCUUAGCGUUGCUUUUAUGUAUUGUUAUACAUCGUCUUGGUUAAAAAAAAAAAAAGUUUGGGAACAUUUGUCCAAACCUUUCACUGGUAAUGUAUGUAAAUUACUUACUGAAAUGAGCAGCAUAUUUGGGGGGAAAUGAAAUAGUGGAUAAUUACUGCCGUUGUGCUUUGACUGGAUUGCGGAUGUAAAACGUGCGUUUGCAUCGUCCGUGCUGCUGUCAGUAUCAACAGUUGUCCUUCUUUCUCACACCAUGAACAGAAAAGGUUAAGGUCUGUGCUUGGAGGUGGAUGGUGCCAAACGCUACCCAACUGCAGCCUCCCCCCUCCAUCUUCCUCCUGUCCUCCAUCCUCCCUCUUCCCCCCCCCCCUCUGUCCUAGGAGGUGUCGCUACGGAACAUGAGUAAUGAUGUUGUCAUCUCUGUCAGUCUCCAUUUAUCAAUGUCAAAUGGGAAGCAGGAUUGCGGUGCAUGUGUGUGUGUGUGUGUGUGAAGGUGGUGCUGGUGGGUUCUGGGGGAGGGGGGUGUAGAGAGGGGAGGAGAAAAUACGCAGCUAGUUCGAGGAGAAAAGAAAGAUGUGGCAGGAAUGUGAAGAGAAAUGGUAGAGGAAGGUGGCCACGAUGAAGAGGAGAGGCGAGGAAAAGGGGCGUGGCCGAGAGAGGACGAGGAGAAGUGAGUUUGAGAAGGACGAGUCACAACAAAAAGGCCCCGCGUGAGAUCUCUCUCCGUCCGUCCGUCCGUCCGUCUGCUGACGCCAACAGGGAGCCCAUGAUUCAUCGUCACCAUCACUGCCAGACAGAAUUAAGGCGCUGCUCUUUAGCAUAUGCAAGUCUAAUUAUGCAAAUCGGGGCCGGUGGACCAAACAGCAGUGCAGCAGCUAGUCCGUCUGCGUUUAGGCGCUAUGCGGAUGUUUGUGCGUGUGCAUUCGUCCCCAUCAGUCCUGCGACCCUGGAAUGACUCUCUUGUCCGCUAACAGGGUCAUUUUGAGGUGUAUUUGAGAAGAAAGUAUACCGAAAUGUACAAUAACAAACUUAGCGAUUGAUGAAAUUCAUAACAUUUAAAAAAAAUUAAAUAAAUAACAAAACAUA
Gasterosteus aculeatus aculeatus (three-spined stickleback) is the source of this 1699-nucleotide long non-coding RNA. RefSeq lists it as uncharacterized. The record is from RefSeq and is a predicted model, not a curated record. NCBI's taxonomy places the organism in Eukaryota, Metazoa, Chordata, Actinopteri, Perciformes, Gasterosteidae.